AGAUGCUGUUUGUGCAAGGCAAAGAAAGGGAUGCUGACUCCCCCCUGCUUAGAGAAGUCUGCCUACCCAGAGAUCCCUCCCUUAUCUAUCACCUCGGACAGUGACUAACUUCCUUCAGCUGUAUUUUAACUAAGAGUUCCCUUCAAAGAAUUCCCUUCAACCUGGCUUCGUCUUGAUGGACCACACCUCUUCUGGAUCUCCUUUGUCUGACACUGGUCCGAAUGGAUGCAGGGAUCAAAUCAAAAUGUCAGCCAAAGAUCAGCCAGGCAGAACCAUGCUGCGGAGUCCCAACAACAGAAGCAGGUGCAAAAAUGCACAGCGUGCCUCUCGAGACCACUUGUAAAUGAUUUUGGGUUAUCGCCUCCCCUAAGGAUAGGAAGAAUUGAGUGGGAACAGCUGCACCUUUCUGUCGAGUGUUUAAAAGUUGCAGUCUGGCUCAACCACCGCGGGAGAGAGACUGGCACAACAGAGCAUGUGUGGAUAGUGGCUCAGAACACAGGCUGAUGGGACAGGCUCAAAUCCUGUCACUGCCACCUCAGAUAAGCUACUAUCUCUUCCCCGAGCCACAGUUUGUAAUCUCUAAAAUGGGAAGGGGACUGAUGGCACCCAUUUAUGGCUUCCGAAUUAAGUAGGGGUAUGGCGUGUGGGCUUGGCGCACACAGCACUUGACUCACAUAAUGUGAGCAACUACUGAUGAAUUGUUAUUAUUGUAUUAAUAAAGUAGGGGAAUGUUUCUAAUACUCUCCUGUUACUCUUUAAGGAAACUUCCAGCAGAUGUAUAUUUUGAGACGUUCCGGUCACUAGGUGUGGCUGUCUUUCUACUAGUCCGAGCCAGACAAGGGCAAUGAGAGAUGGACCAGCAGAAAGGACGAGGGCAGAGGCUGCCGUGAGGGCAACGGAGUGAGAACUGACAUCCUGAGGGUGGGAGUGGAUGAUAACUUAUCACUGAAGGUAAAAUGGAGACUUGUGUCUGCUCUGGGGCCCUGCCCAGGUCAUCUCUCUUAGGUGGCUCUGUCUUUCUCAGUUUACUGCUAUGAAGAAUUUGAACCAGUCCCCAGCCCCACAAUAUACAUAGUGACCCUGGCUGGCUUCUAGGUAGCCCAGUCUCUUUAAGUCUAUAUUGCACUCCCUAGUAGCCAGUCUUCUGUUCCCAAUCUCUGAAGGCAGGGGCAGGUCUCUCCUCACGUACUGAGCUUGGCUGCCGAGCUCUCCGUCACCUACAGCCUGAUCGGAAACUUGACUGUGUGACUGAGUCUCCACAGAAUCCUUCCGUACCCUAGCCCAGCCUCCGUCGCCAUGGUUGAGGAGAGUAUGAGACCUCUUAUGUAGGUAUUUACUGAUGUGCACUCAGAGGCCACAAUGUCUAAGAAUUACCAGCUCCUUCAUGCUACCCUGAAUAAUGCUGCCAAGGGACCUGUGUCUCUGCAGGGCUCAAGGAGAAGCUGGGCUCAGAGGAGCCUGGCUGAUGGCCUUCAAAACAAGAAAAGAUCUGUUGCUUUGGUCAAGAACAGUGUGGGGAAGAGAAGAACUCGGAAGAACAGGGUGGUUCCUUCCAACUCUGGCUCCCCUUGCUUUCACUAUGGUGAACACGGAUCUCAUUGGGCAGGCUAGAGCUGAGGGUGGUGACCCAGUGGAGAGCGUGAGGAGAGGUGGUGGUGGCUGAUGGCGAGAACAUGGAUCCAAGCCCUUGGCGACAUUGAAAACAUGGAACCCCCCCUCUCUUCCUGGUCCCCGUACUCCCCUUCGGACAGCGGUGUUGGGCCGCGCCUUCGGAGGCCCUGUAAUAUCAACUCAACAAUGCAUGUUCUACAACUACAGCUACAGCUACCAGGACAUCUACUACAAUGCAUGCAUUUAGUUCAGUCCCACAGAUACAUACAAUCUAAGAACAGGCAAGGGAGGUGUGAAAUGUUUUACUAGACAACAGGUGUUUUGGAGUUGUAACUGAUAAAAAAAAAGAGAGAGAGAGAAACGUAAAGUGUACAAAAAAAAGAGAGAGAGAGAGACAUUUCUCGAGAGUUGGAUAUGAGUUUGUUUCUUGAACUGUUUCAUCUGAACAAGCAAAACAUGCAAACCAGCUGAUACUAACAGGAAGCUGGACACUGAGAGAGGUUAACAGGUGUGGACAAACCUUCCUGCUGAGCGUGCUCAGAAGAGUGUCUGAGAGGACGUGUGCAGGUCCUAGUGUAAGAGAGGCGGGAAAGUUUGCCUCAGACACUCUCUCUCACCGCAGCCCCAACCAAGCAAGAGAAAAGACAACAGAAACAUGACUGCUCACACUCACCACCACCGUCAGGAGCUUAUGUCACUAGACUGGAAUAAAGCCGGCAAGUAUAAAGUACAGUACGGGGUCCUGGCUGGGGCCGGGGCAGGGGCCGGGGGAGGGAGUGGACACCGGGGGAGGGGUGCUCUGCAAGCUCGAAGAGUAAUACACGGACCCACCAAUGAGGUCACCCCCAAAUAAAA
Molecule: long non-coding RNA, 2466 nt
Filed under: Mus musculus (house mouse)
Lineage: Eukaryota; Metazoa; Chordata; Mammalia; Rodentia; Muridae
Description: predicted gene 15893
Source: RNAcentral